Molecule: ribosomal RNA, 254 nt
Filed under: uncultured bacterium
Lineage: Bacteria
Description: partial 16S ribosomal RNA
Rfam family: Bacterial small subunit ribosomal RNA
Source: RNAcentral
UACGUAGGGAGCAAGCGUUGUUCGGAUUUACUGGGCGUAAAGGGCGCGUAGGCGGCAAAUUAAGUCAGCUGUGAAAUCUCCGAGCUUAACCCGGAACGGUCAGAUGAUACUGCUUUGCUAGAGUGCGGAAGGGGCAAUCGGAAUUCUUGGUGUAGCGGUGAAAUGCGUAGAUAUCAAGAGGAACACCUGAGGUGAAGACGGGUUGCUGGGCCGACACUGACGCUGAUAGCGCGAAAGCCAGGGGAGCAAACGGG